AACUGAAACAUCUAAGUACCCGGAGGAAGAGAAAGAAAAAUCGAUUUUCUAAGUAGCGGCGAGCGAAAGGGAAAGAGGCCAAACCGUUAGUUUACUAGCGGGGUUGUGGAUCACAGCUGUGGUAGAUACAAGUUUAGCAGAAGACAACUGGAAAGUUUGCGACGUAGAGGGUAAAAUCCCCGUAUGCGAAAGAUGAGUAUCACCUAUGUGACACCAGAGUAGGACCGAACACGUGGAAUUCGGUUUGAAGCCGGGGGGCCCACCCCCCAAGCCUAAAUACUACCCAGUGACCGAUAGUGAAUAGUACCGUGAGGGAAAGGUGAAAAGGACCCCGGGAGGGGAGUGAAAAAGAACCUGAAACCUUAUGCUUACAAGCAGAGGGAGCGCAAGUGACCUCGUACUUUUUGUAGAACGGGCCAACGAGUUAUGGUAUGCAGCGAGGUUAAGGUGCUGGAGCACCGGAGCCGUAGAGAAAUCGAGUCUGAAAGGGCGGAAGUUGUAUGCUGUAGACCCGAAACCGGGUGAUCUAUCCAUGUCCAGGUUGAAGUAACUGUAAUAGGUUAUGGAGGACCGAACUUAUAUCUGUUGAAAAAGGUUAGGAUGAGGUGUGGAUAGGGGUGAAAUUCCAAUCGAACUCGGAUAUAGCUGGUUCUCCUCGAAAUAGCUUUAGGGCUAGCCUCGUAGUAAGAUACCUGGGGGUAGAGCACUGAAUGUUCUAGGGGCCUUCACCGGUUACCGAAAACUAUCAAACUCCGAAUACCAGAGUAUCAUCUACGGGAGUCAGACUAUGUGAGAUAAGUUUCAUAGUCGAAAGGGAAACAGCCCAGACCGUCAGCUAAGGUCCCAAAAUAUAGGUUAAGUGGAAAAGGAUGUGGGGUUGCACAGACAGCUAGGAUGUUGGCUUAGAAGCAGCCAUUCAUUCAAAGAGUGCGUAAUAGCUCACUAGUCGAGUGACCCUGCGCCGAAGAUAAACGGGGCUAAAAUCUAUUACCGAAGCUACGGAUACUUAAUGUAUGGUAGAGGAGCGUCGUAUAAGGAUAGAAGCAGUAUUGAAAGGUACUGUGGACUUUAUACGAGAGAGAAUGUUGGCAUGAGUAGCGCGAGGCAGGUGAGAAUCCUGCCCACCGAAAAUCUAAGGUUUCCUGAGGAAGGUUCGUCCACUCAGGGUUAGUCGGGGCCUAAGCCGAGAGCGAACGCUGUAGGCGAUGGACAACUGGUAGAUAUUCCAGUACCACCGAAUGUCGUUAUAAGUGAAGUGGGGACACAGAAGGAUAGGUUGAGCGCACCGUUGGUAGAGUGCGUCCAAGCGUUAAGGGAGCUGAAGCAGGCAAAUCCGCAUCAGCAAUUCUGAGGCGUUACGGGGAGUCUAAAAAGACGGAAGCAACUGAUUUCAUACUGUCAAGAAAAGCCGCUAGCAAGACACUAGGUGCCCGUACCGCAAACCGACACAGGUAGAUGAGGAGAGAAUCCUAAGGCGAGCGAGAGAACUAUUGUUAAGGAACUCGGCAAAAUUACCCCGUAACUUCGGGAGAAGGGGUGCCUGCGAAGAGCAGGCCGCAGUGAAUAGGCCCAGGCGACUGUUUACCAAAAACACAGGUCUCUGCUAAAGCGAAAGCUGAAGUAUAGGGGCUGACGCCUGCCCGGUGCUGGAAGGUUAAGGGGACGUGUCAUCGCAAGAGAAGCACUGAACUUAAGCCCCAGUAAACGGCGGCCGUAACUAUAACGGUCCUAAGGUAGCGAAAUUCCUUGUCAGGUAAGUUCUGACCCGCACGAAAGGUGUAAUGAUUUGGGCACUGUCUCGGCAGCAGACUCGGUGAAAUCUUAGUACCUGUGAAGAUGCAGGUUACCCGCAACUAGACGGAAAGACCCCAUGGAGCUUUACUGUAGUCUGCUAUUGAGUUUCGGUUAAGUAUGCACAGGAUAGGUGGGAGACGAUGAGACUGGUCUUUCGGGAUCAGAGGAGUCACUGUUGGGAUACCACUCUUACUUAAUUGAAAUUCUAACUCUAAGCCGUGAUCCGGCUAGAGGACCGUGGCAGAUGGGCAGUUUGACUGGGGCGGUCGCCUCCCAAAGAGUAACGGAGGCGCACAAAGGUACUCUCAGAAUGGUUGGAAAUCAUUCAACGAGCGCAAACGCAGAAGAGUGCUUGACUGCGAGACAAACAAGUCGAGCAGGGACGAAAGUCGGUGUUAGUGAUCCGGCGGUGCAGAAUGGAAUGGCCGUCGCUUAACGGAUAAAAGCUACCCUGGGGAUAACAGGCUGAUCUCCCCCAAGAGUUCACAUCGACGGGGAGGUUUGGCACCUCGAUGUCGGCUCAUCGCAUCCUGGGGCUGUAGUCGGUCCCAAGGGUUGGGCUGUUCGCCCAUUAAAGCGGUACGCGAGCUGGGUUCAGAACGUCGUGAGACAGUUCGGUCCCUAUCUGUUGUGGGCGUUGGAAAUUUGAGGAGAGCUGCCCCUAGUACGAGAGGACCAGGGUGGACGUUCCUACGGUGCACCAGUUGUCACGCCAGUGGCAUAGCUGGAUAGCUGAGAACGGACCGGAUAAACGCUGAAGGCAUCUAAGCGUGAAACCGACUCCAAGAUUAGAUUUCCCAUCAUUUCAAAUGAAUAAGACCCCUUGAAGACGACGAGGUUGAUAGGUCAGAGAUGUAAGUGUAGCGAUACAUUCAGUUGACUGAUACUAAUAGGUCGAAGAUUUAUUCAC
RNAcentral lists this ribosomal RNA (2704 nucleotides) under human oral metagenome. Its description in RNAcentral is "bacterial LSU rRNA". It matches the Rfam family "Bacterial large subunit ribosomal RNA". The record is from RNAcentral.